GGCGGGGCGGCGGGAGCGGGCUCUCCGGAAGGACCUGGCGAGCGGCGACUGUGCGAGCCCAGCAGUGGAUGGGAUGCUGGUGUGGGCCGGUGCUCUGACUCAAGGUGUCACUGCCUUGUCACCGCCCUGCUCGAGGCUCCCGGCCCGGCGUCCUUCACAGUGGGGACAGGGCUGGGUCCCAGCUGUUCUACCUCCGCUGCCGCUAUUACUUUCGCAACCCGAUCCACAUCACCCUGCACUGGGGAUCUUUAAUCUUCAGGUCCUUUGACCAGGGCUGAUGCAGCUCUAUUCUAGCUGUUGCUCACUUCUUGCCCAGCUGCUGUUUGAUCCUGCUCAGUUCUACCAAGUGAACUCUGACGUCUGAAGUCUCCUACAAAGUCUGGACAUGGAUGAACCUGGAGACCAUCAUUCUCAGCAAACUGACACAAGAACAGAAAAUGAAAUACUGCAUGUUCUCACUCAUAGGUAGGUGUUGAACAAUGAGAACACAUGGACACAGAGAGGGGAGCACUACACAUUGGGGUCUGUUGAGGGAAA
Non-coding RNA from Callithrix jacchus (white-tufted-ear marmoset), 537 nucleotides. NCBI's taxonomy places the organism in Eukaryota, Metazoa, Chordata, Mammalia, Primates, Cebidae. The record is from RefSeq and is a predicted model, not a curated record.